CACCUUUGCCACUUGAUGAAUAUCGAAUAUGGUUCACAUUCGGACAGAUUUGACAUCCAAUAGAAGAACGAUCAUAACUUUCUUGUGACAGCUCGGAAUGGGUAUAGGAAGAUUGAUCUGGAAAGCUGGAUUAAAGAUCUUCACGAUGGUAUGUAGAUCGCCUUCUGAAGCUUCCUAGAUCGCCGGAAAACCGCUUCAAAAUUCAGC
This 207-nucleotide long non-coding RNA is filed under the name Eutrema salsugineum. RNAcentral's name for it is "long non-coding RNA (ESAL_LNC001417)". Lineage: Eukaryota; Viridiplantae; Streptophyta; Magnoliopsida; Brassicales; Brassicaceae. The record is from RNAcentral.